Molecule: non-coding RNA, 731 nt
Organism: Oryctolagus cuniculus (rabbit)
Lineage: Eukaryota; Metazoa; Chordata; Mammalia; Lagomorpha; Leporidae
Source: RefSeq, a predicted model, not a curated record
AUUCUCUCAUGCUUCGCCUUGUACUGUGAUCUCCCAUUUCUAACUCCUGGUAACCUCUUACUUCCAGAUGUCAUUAGUGAUUCUCUAAAGCAACAUAUGCUUGACCCAGUGGUGACCAAGAGUCUCCAACCAGCUCUCUGACCUUGCUUGAGAAAAAUGUGAUCCCACCAUGACAUCAUCUGCCACGACGUGUCACAGUCAAGGGAGCCCCGCCAGAGGCUGAACACUUACACGUUGGGCCACUUUAUCUUGGAUUUUCAGCCUCCCAAAAAUGAGACGGGAUUUCACUAAGGCUCCAGAUUUUCUGAAAUGAAAUAUUGUAAGACAAAUAUGUCUGCAACAGAAUAUUUUGAGCAUUGCUUUACAUGAAAAGAAAGUCCAGAGAUUAAUGAGAGUCAAUAUAGCAUUUAAAAUUCUCUUGUGGCUUUUGACUAAUUGUCUUUAAAAAUCCUCAUUGUGCAGAAGUUAAAUCUUUCUCUGUCAAAUAAAGAGAAUCUGAUUAUUUUGAUGACAGAAGAUUUUACUAAUCAUUCAUUUAAGACACUAAUCCACAUAGUAAUGGGUUUAGGCAAUAUCUGUGCAAUUAUCAUUAAUUUAAAGGGUCAUUCGGACCAUCAAUGUUUAUGUAGACCAUCAUCAGAGAAGCUUUGUGGAAAUAAAUUUCUUCUCCAACCCACAAUCUAAUAAACCUCUUCAUCUGCCCCAUUUGUGAACAUUAUUUAAUUUAACAU